CUAUGCGCCUUGCCAGCCCGCUCAGGUGUGCCAGCCGCCGCGGUAAUACGGAGGAUGCGAGCGUUAUCCGGAUUUAUUGGGUUUAAAGGGUGCGUAGGCGGAAUAUCAAGUCAGCGGUAAAAAUUCGGGGCUCAACCCCGUCGUGCCGUUGAAACUGAUGUUCUUGAGUGGGCGAGAAGUAUGCGGAAUGCGUGGUGUAGCGGUGAAAUGCAUAGAUAUCACGCAGAACUCCGAUUGCGAAGACAGCAUACCGGCGCCCGACUGACGCUGAGGCACGAAAGCGUGGGUAUCGAACAGG
This 298-nucleotide ribosomal RNA is filed under the name uncultured bacterium. RNAcentral describes it as "partial 16S ribosomal RNA". It matches the Rfam family "Bacterial small subunit ribosomal RNA", at positions 475 to 776 of the family's 1533-position model. The record is from RNAcentral.